RNAcentral lists this ribosomal RNA (274 nucleotides) under uncultured bacterium. RNAcentral's name for it is "partial 16S ribosomal RNA". It matches the Rfam family "Bacterial small subunit ribosomal RNA", at positions 523 to 796 of the family's 1533-position model. The record is from RNAcentral.
AUACAGAGGGUGCGAGCGUUAAUCGGAAUUACUGGGCGUAAAGCGCGCGUAGGCGGCUACUUAAGUCAGAUGUGAAAUCCCCGGGCUCAACCUGGGAACUGCAUCUGAUACUGGGUAGCUAGAGUUUAGGAGAGGGAAGUAGAAUUUCAGGUGUAGCGGUGAAAUGCAUAGAGAUCUGAAGGAAUACCAGUGGCGAAGGCGGCUUCCUGGCCUAAAACUGACGCUGAGGUGCGAAAGCGUGGGUAGCAAACGGGAUUAGAAACCCCUGUAGUCC